CUGGCGGCAGGCCUAACACAUGCAAGUCGAGCGCACUCUUCGGAGUGAGCGGCGGACGGGUUAGUAACGCGUGGGAACAUACCCUUUUCUACGGAAUAGCCUCGGGAAACUGAGAGUAAUACCGUAUACGCCCUUUUGGGGAAAGAUUUAUCGGAGAAGGAUUAGCCCGCGUUAGAUUAGGUAGUUGGUGGGGUAAUGGCCUACCAAGCCUACGAUCUAUAGCUGGUUUGAGAGGAUGAUCAGCCACACUGGGACUGAGACACGGCCCAGACUCCUACGGGAGGCAGCAGUAGGGAAUCUUAGACAAUGGGGGCAACCCUGAUCUAGCCAUGCCGCGUGUGUGAUGAAGGCCCUAGGGUCGUAAAGCACUUUCGCCAGAGAUGAUAAUGACAGUAUCUGGUAAAGAAACCCCGGCUAACUCCGUGCCAGCAGCCGCGGUAAUACGGAGGGGGUUAGCGUUGUUCGGAAUUACUGGGCGUAAAGCGCACGUAGGCGGAUUAGUAAGUUAGAGGUGAAAUCCCAGGGCUCAACCCUGGAACUGCCUUUAAUACUGCUAGUCUUGAGUUCGAGAGAGGUAAGUGGAAUUCCGAGUGUAGAGGUGAAAUUCGUAGAUAUUCGGAGGAACACCAGUGGCGAAGGCGGCUUACUGGCUCGAUACUGACGCUGAGGUGCGAAAGUGUGGGGAGCAAACAGGAUUAGAUACCCUGGUAGUCCACACCGUAAACGAUGAAUGCCAGACGUCAGCAAGUAUA
RNAcentral lists this ribosomal RNA (752 nucleotides) under uncultured marine bacterium. RNAcentral describes it as "bacterial SSU rRNA". It matches the Rfam family "Bacterial small subunit ribosomal RNA", at positions 36 to 834 of the family's 1533-position model. The record is from RNAcentral.